Paramuricea clavata is the source of this 304-nucleotide non-coding RNA. Lineage: Eukaryota; Metazoa; Cnidaria; Anthozoa; Malacalcyonacea; Plexauridae. The record is from the annotation of a GenBank genome assembly.
ACCAAAUUAGACAACACAAUACGACAAAACAUAAAAAAAAAGAAAAAAAAAAAAGAAAAAAAAAAGAGAUCAGAAUACGUGAAGAGGGAUUGAACUGCCUUGAACGUUGAGAGAGGGUUUCAUUUUAGAGAUAAAAAAGCUUUCAUGAAUAAGGAGUUCUUGUUCAUCUGAACAAGAGGAGAGGAUUUCGAAGUCGUCAAUAGAAGCAGCGUGGCCUGGAGCGGGAUAUGUCAAUGUCAAGAAAUGGGAGCUUACCAUCACGUUCAACCUCACUAGUGAAGCGAAUGUUGGUGUGCUGGCGAUU